CCGCGUGAGGGAUGACGGCCUUCGGGUUGUAAACCUCUUUCAGCCCUGACGAAGCGAAAGUGACGGUAGGGGCAGAAGAAGCACCGGCCAACUACGUGC
RNAcentral lists this ribosomal RNA (99 nucleotides) under uncultured bacterium. Its description in RNAcentral is "partial 16S ribosomal RNA". It matches the Rfam family "Bacterial small subunit ribosomal RNA", at positions 397 to 508 of the family's 1533-position model. The record is from RNAcentral.